AUGAAGUUAUAUCCUGGAAAGUGGGUAAAUGAUCUUACAAGCCCUAUUCAUGAUGUUGAGAGAGAUAGUAUAUGGGAUCUGGUGGUUGUUUAUGGAACAGCCCAAGAGGAGUUCAAGGAUGAUUUGCUUGUUGAAAUGGCAUCCUUUUGCUCUCACAUUGAUAUACCUUAUAUCAUAGGUGGUGACUUUAACAUCUUGAGGGGGUGUGAUGACAAAAAUAAAGUCAUGAGAUUUAAUCCUUAUGUUGACAAGUUCAACUCUGUGAUCAAUACGUUUAGUCUCAGAGAAAUUUACUUGUCUGGGGGCAAAUACACAUGGUCUAAUCAUCAGGCUCAUCCCACUCUAGAGAAGCUGGACAGGGUGCUUAUGAGUCUUUCCUGGGAGGAGUUAUUUCCUCUGGUGUCAGUUCGUAAGCUUGUUCGAGACAUCUCUGAUCAUAAUCCCCUCCUUCUCUCCCUCAAACCUGGCAGCCUUGAACCCCCUAAGAAAAAAGAGUUUCAUUUUGAGAUUAGCUGGUUGAGCAAUGAGUUGUUCUUGCCUAAGGCCAGAGAAAUCUGGGAACAGCCGGUUAACUCGAAGGAUCCUAUAGACAUCCUUAAUAUCAAAUUGAAACAUUGUAAGAAAUAUUUCAAGGGUUGGGGAUCUCAUGUCUUUGGACACGAGAGGAAAAGGAAGAAAGAGAUCCGUAAAGAACUUGAGGAGAUUGAAAAAAUGGAGGAAGAAGGCAUUGUGGAUGCCGAGUCUUGCUGCCAUAGAGCUUCUCUCUUGGCCGAGCUUAAUGUAAUUCUGAUGAACGAAGAGUUAUUCAGACUGCAGCGGUCUAAAGAGUGA
This 831-nucleotide ribosomal RNA is filed under the name Triticum aestivum (bread wheat). RNAcentral's name for it is "partial small subunit ribosomal RNA". The record is from RNAcentral. Lineage: Eukaryota; Viridiplantae; Streptophyta; Magnoliopsida; Poales; Poaceae.